Transfer RNA from Fistulifera solaris, 88 nucleotides. It matches the Rfam family "tRNA". From Rfam's summary of the family: Transfer RNA (tRNA) molecules are approximately 80 nucleotides in length. Their secondary structure includes four short double-helical elements and three loops (D, anti-codon, and T loops). Further hydrogen bonds mediate the characteristic L-shaped molecular structure. tRNAs have two regions of fundamental functional importance: the anti-codon, which is responsible for specific mRNA codon recognition, and the 3' end, to which the tRNAs corresponding amino acid is attached (by aminoacyl-tRNA synthetases). tRNAs cope with the degeneracy of the genetic code in two manners: having more than one tRNA (with a specific anti-codon) for a particular amino acid; and 'wobble' base-pairing, i.e. permitting non-standard base-pairing at the 3rd anti-codon position. Lineage: Eukaryota; Bacillariophyta; Bacillariophyceae; Naviculales; Stauroneidaceae. The record is from Rfam.
GCCGAAUUAGCUCAGUCGGUAGAGCGCACGACUCUUAGCCUGAACCUUAGUUAUCGUGUGGUCGUGGGUUCGACCCCCACAUUCGGUG